Molecule: ribosomal RNA, 170 nt
Filed under: uncultured Lactobacillus sp.
Lineage: Bacteria; Bacillati; Bacillota; Bacilli; Lactobacillales; Lactobacillaceae
Description: partial 16S ribosomal RNA
Rfam family: Bacterial small subunit ribosomal RNA
Source: RNAcentral
ANCUUNCAUGGAGCAAGUCUGAUGGAGCAACGCCGCGUGAGUGAAGAAGGGUUUCGGCUCGUAAAGCUCUGUUGGUAGUGAAGAAAGAUAGAGGUAGUAACUGGCCUUUAUUUGACGGUAAUUACUUAGAAAGUCACGGCUAACUACGUGCCAGCAGCCGCGGUAAUACA